This 1209-nucleotide ribosomal RNA is filed under the name Triticum aestivum (bread wheat). RNAcentral describes it as "partial small subunit ribosomal RNA". The record is from RNAcentral. Lineage: Eukaryota; Viridiplantae; Streptophyta; Magnoliopsida; Poales; Poaceae.
AUGUCUUCCUCCUCUUCCUCCCACGCCAUGGCCAUGCCCUCCCUCGCCUCCCUCGGCCACACCAUCACCGAAAAGCUUACCCGCGAAAAUUUUCUGGUGUGGAAGGCUCAAGUGCUCCCGCAUGUCAAGGCCGCGGCGAUGAGGGGCUAUCUUGACGGCUCGAUCAAGGAGCCCGCCGCUGUCAUCGUCACCGAGAAGGACAACGCUGGGAAGAAGGAGAUCACCGAGGCGCCCAACCCAGAACACGCGAUCUGGGUCACUCAAGAUCAGCAGGUGCUUACCUUCUUGCUCGCCUCUCUAUCCCGCGAGGUUUUGAUGCAGGUGUCCAACCACACCACCGCCGCGGGAGUCUGGCAAGCCCUGGUGGAAAGCUUUUCUUCCCAGUCCCGGGCGCGCCAGAUACAACUCCGUUCUGCGAUCGGGAACGCACGUAAGGGCGACCUCUCCGCUGCCGCCUACUUCACCAAGAUGAAGGGGCUCGCCGACGAGCUCGCCGCUGCAGGAAAACCGCUUGAUGAAGACGACAUCGUUUCGCACAUCAUGGAGGGUCUCAUGCAUGAGCCCGACUACAGCGGCUUCGUCACCGCCAUCUCCACGCGCGCCAUCACCGAUCAACCGAUCGGCCUCAGCGAGCUCUUCUCACUACUGCUCGCCGCUGAGUCUCGGAUCGCCGCCCAGCACCUCGCCUACACCGCCCACCACUCCGUCAACCUCGCCGCCAAGGGUGGUCGAGGUGGCUACGGCGGCAGACGCGGCGGACAGGGUGGUGGACGCGGCGGCUACAACGGGGGCAACUACAACGACAACUCGGGCGGCGGUGCGCCGCGCCAGCAAGGUGGUGACCGUUGUGAGCGCGGUGACCGCGAGCGCUGCCAAAUCUGCAAGGAGGACGGCCACGCUGCGUGGCGCUGCAAGAAACGCUACGACAAAGGCUACAACAACAACGUACGCAACCCCGCAGGUGGCGGUGGUGGCGGCAGACGCGGCGGCGGUGGGCGCGGUGGCGGCGGCAGCAGCGGCAAUUCUCGCUCCGCCAACUCUGCCCACUCCUAUGGUGUAGAUACUAAUUGGUAUCUUGACACCGGUGCCACUGAUCACAUCACCGGGGAGUUGGAAAAACUAGCUGUUCGAGAUCGCUACACCGGCACCGACCAAAUCCACACAGCAAGUGGGCAAGGCUACCCGGAGAAUUAUCCUUCAAAACAAUAG